Molecule: transfer RNA, 73 nt
Filed under: Romeriopsis navalis LEGE 11480
Lineage: Bacteria; Bacillati; Cyanobacteriota; Cyanophyceae; Leptolyngbyales; Leptolyngbyaceae
Rfam family: tRNA
About the family: Transfer RNA (tRNA) molecules are approximately 80 nucleotides in length. Their secondary structure includes four short double-helical elements and three loops (D, anti-codon, and T loops). Further hydrogen bonds mediate the characteristic L-shaped molecular structure. tRNAs have two regions of fundamental functional importance: the anti-codon, which is responsible for specific mRNA codon recognition, and the 3' end, to which the tRNAs corresponding amino acid is attached (by aminoacyl-tRNA synthetases). tRNAs cope with the degeneracy of the genetic code in two manners: having more than one tRNA (with a specific anti-codon) for a particular amino acid; and 'wobble' base-pairing, i.e. permitting non-standard base-pairing at the 3rd anti-codon position.
Source: Rfam by way of RNAcentral
GCCCUUGUGACGGAAUGGCAGACGUCGCCCGCUCAGAACGGGUGUUUUACAGGUUCGAGUCCUGUCAGGGGUA